This is a long non-coding RNA of Oncorhynchus tshawytscha (Chinook salmon), 836 nucleotides long. The record is from Ensembl. Lineage: Eukaryota; Metazoa; Chordata; Actinopteri; Salmoniformes; Salmonidae.
GUAGUGGGUGAUGUGGAUAGUGUAUAGGUGGUGGGUGAUGUGGAUAGAUAGUGGGUGAUGUGGAUAGUAGAUGGGUAGUGGGUGAUGUGGAUAGUAGAUAGGUAGUGGGUGAUGUGGAUAGGUAGUGGGUGAUGUGGAUAGUAUAUAGGUAGUGGGUGAUGUGGAUAGUGGAUAGGUAUUGGAUGAUGUGGAUAGUAGAUAGGUAUUGGAUUAUGUGGAUAGUAGAUAGGUAGUGGGUGAUGUGGAUAGUGGAUAGGUAGUGGGUGAUGUGGAUAGUGGAUAGGUAGUGGGUGAUGUGGAUAGUGGAUAGGUAGUGGGUGAUGUGGAUAGGUAGUGGAUGAUGUGGAUGGUGUGGAUAGUGGAUAGGCAGUGGAUGAUGUGGAUAGUAGAUAGGUAGUGGGUGAUGUGGAUAGUGGAUAGGUAGUGGGUGAUGUGGAUAGUGGAUAGGUAGUGGGUGAUGUGGAUAGUGGAUAGGUAGUGGGUGAUGUGGAUGGUGUGGAUAGUGGAUAGGCAGUGGAUGAUGUGGAUAGUAGAUAGGUAGUGGGUGAUGUGGAUAGGUAGUGGGUGAUGUGGAUAGUAUAUAGGUAGUGGGUGAUGUGGAUAGUGGAUAGGUAGUGGGUGAUGUGGAUAGGUAGUGGGUGAUGUGGAUAGGUAGUGGGUGAUGUGGAUCGUAGAUAGGUAGUGUGUGAUGUGGAUAGGUAGUGGAUGAUGUGGAUAGGUAGUGGAUGAUAGUAGGUUGUGUUUGUUUAUGUAUGAACUAGAGAGGGUCAACUCUAGUUGAAUUUGACAUGCCUUCAUGUAGGAAAUAGGUAAAGUGGUCUGUGUAAAAAUACCAU